UAAAGCUAAUACGGUGGUCCUUAUCAGACUCCUGUGUCUCCACUGGUUCAGAACCAACACAGAAAAGGGUAGUGACCACUUAUAUUACCUCCAAAACCCGCAGAACUUACUCGUCAGGAAAACUGACCAUCACCACACGUGAAAUAGUCCCCACCUUGUAUUUAAAUAAAACCUUAACCUGUUUCAAGCUACUUUAUCACAGCCACACUGUUGGAGCCUGAGGCCAUGCUAAGAAAAAGAUCACCAGAAUGCCAAGCAAAAGAUGAGGAAGCUCGGGAGUUACCAGUGGAAUCGAUAUGAAGAGCAACAAGCCACCGAUAAGGCACAACUGGAUCUGAGCAUCACUGAUCCUGAGCAGGGAAGAUUCCAUGGUCAUCUGUCUAAGGACAAGGAUAGAACCCAGCUGAACUCUCUCCAAAGGAUGUUCAAAUUGCUUGUUCCUAAAUUUGCCUGCUAUGUCUGAAACACUGAGGUUUCUUUAAUCAGGAUAAAGUUUGAGCUUCUCAUCUAACUCUGUCUUACCAUGAAAGUGUGAGCUAUGAACUCUUCCGUAAAUAAACAUUGAUUGAGCACUAUGCUGGGCAUCAGAGAAGGAGAAAUGGACAAGACACAGUUCCUGCUCUCAAGAAGCUCAUGCUAUAGUGGACUUUAUCAAAAAGCUUUCCAGGUAAAGCUCUUUCUUUCCAAGGAAUAACCAAGUAAGAAAGUUUACAAUGGAACGUAAAGAAUGAUGUCUCCAUGUAUUUAUGGACACUUGAUUCAUGAUACAGAUGAGACUGAAGAGCAGGGAAGAAAGAAAGAAGGAAGGAAGGAAGAGAGAAUGAGAGAGUGUGAGAGCGCGAGAGAAAGGAAGGAAGGAAGAAGGAAGGAAGGAAAGCAGAAAGAGAAGGAAGGAAGGAAGGAUGGAAGGAAAGAAGGAAGGAAGGAAGAAAAAGAUCUGUAACCUCGGGCCCACUUGGACCAGUUGGAACUGACCCCAUCUUAUCAACAGAGUGAUUAGGAGUUGCUUUUCAGAGGCAGAAAUUUGGAAGUCGCAUAGCCAGAGCAUGCGCAGAGGAGAAAAUGUUGACCUGAAAUAACACUGGAACCCAAGAUUCUCCCUGACAUGAAACAAAGGACCAGGGCACUACCAGAACUUGAAGGCUGGACUCUUAUCAGAAGCGAGGGGUCCAUUGUCUAGGAAGAUCUGGUGUUAAAGCCCUUCCACCUCACCAAAAAUGUUCAGAACCUUCCCAGGAAUGUUUAAAGCCCUCCGAUCAAAACCUGCCCUGUGGCAUUUCCAUGUCCCAGCCUGUUCUCCCUGACCUCUUAAAUUUCGUCCCAGACCCUGAAUCAGGGAGAGAGAUUUCAGAGCUUUGUCUCCUGUCUCCUUGUUGCUCAACCUCACAAUAAAGCCUUUUCUUUUUUCAAAAGCCAGUGGCAUAAUAAUUGGCUUUUUUACUUGCAUUGGGCAGAAAAUCCCCCUUUCUGUGGUAACAAAAUUGUCUCUGCCUCAUAUCAUACACAAAACUCCAAAAAUAAAUCCAGGAGUAUUGUAAAUAAAAUGUGAAAGGCAAAAA
This is a long non-coding RNA of Equus caballus (horse), 1559 nucleotides long. The record is from Ensembl. NCBI's taxonomy places the organism in Eukaryota, Metazoa, Chordata, Mammalia, Perissodactyla, Equidae.